Molecule: ribosomal RNA, 469 nt
Filed under: uncultured bacterium
Lineage: Bacteria
Description: partial 16S ribosomal RNA
Rfam family: Bacterial small subunit ribosomal RNA
Source: RNAcentral
GAUGAAUGCUGGCGGCGUGCCUAACACAUGCAAGUCGAGCGGCAGCGCGAGUAGUUUACUACUUGGCGGCGAGCGGCGGACGGCUGAGUAACGCGUGGGAACAUGCCCCAAAGUGAGGGAUAACUGCUCGAAAGGGUAGCUAAUACCGCAUAUGGUCUUCGGAUUAAAGGAUUUAUCCGCUUUGGGAGUGGCCUGCGUACGAUUAGAUAGUUGGUGAGGUAAUGGCUCACCAAGUCGACGAUCGUUAACUGGUCUGAGAGGAUGAUCAGUCAGACUGGAACUGAGACACGGUCCAAACUCCUACGGGAGGCAGCAGUGGGGAAUUUUGGACAAUGGGGGCAACCCUGAUCCAGCAAUGCCGCGUGAGUGAAGAAGGCCUUCGGGUUGUAAAGCUCUUUUGUCAGGGAAGAAACACCGGCUCUAACACAGUCUGGGAAUGACGGUACCUGAAGAAUAAGCACCGGCUAAC